This 603-nucleotide ribosomal RNA is filed under the name Triticum aestivum (bread wheat). RNAcentral's name for it is "partial small subunit ribosomal RNA". The record is from RNAcentral. Lineage: Eukaryota; Viridiplantae; Streptophyta; Magnoliopsida; Poales; Poaceae.
AUGAAGGCCAGCUCCGGAGCAUUGCUCGCCGUCAUGGCGGUGGCGGCGUUGGCCACGACGGCGCUGGCGAUCGACUACACGGUCGACGACUCCCUCGGCUGGGACACGUACGUCGACUACGAGAAGUGGAUCGCCGACAAAGUCUUCAUGGUCGGCGACACCAUAACGUUCAAGUACGAGCCGUACCACAACGUGCUGGAGGUGACGGAGGCGGACUACGGCAGCUGCGCCACGGGCAGCCCCAUCUCCACCCACUCCGGCGGCAAGACCACCUUCGAGCUCGGCGAGACCGGCACCCGCUACUUCAUCUGCGGCAUCCCCCGCCACUGCACCAACGGCACAAUGCACCUCAAGAUCAGCACCGUGCCGUACGACGCCGCCACCGCCGCCAAGAUGGAAGAAGCAGCGGCCGCAGCCGCCCCUUCUCCGGCCUCGCUCCCCUCCCCUCCCGCUGACACCUACGCCGACGCCAAGGCCGCGCCGGCGGGCGCCCCGACCACCUCCACGCCCGCGGCCGCGUCUGCGUCCGCGCCGCGGUAUCAGCAGCCGGCGGCGGCCUUGGCCGGGCUUGCGAUCGCUGCUCUUGUGGCCAUUGCCGCGUAA